UACGGAGGGGGCUAGCGUUGUUCGGAAUUACUGGGCGUAAAGCGCGCGUAGGCGGCUUUGUAAGUUAGAGGUGAAAGCCCGGGGCUCAACCCCGGAAUUGCCUUUAAGACUGCAUCGCUUGAAUCCGGGAGAGGUGAGUGGAAUUCCGAGUGUAGAGGUGAAAUUCGUAGAUAUUCGGAAGAACACCAGUGGCGAAGGCGGCUCACUGGACCGGCAUUGACGCUGAGGUGCGGAAGCGUGGGGAGCAAACAGG
Molecule: ribosomal RNA, 253 nt
Filed under: uncultured bacterium
Lineage: Bacteria
Description: partial 16S ribosomal RNA
Rfam family: Bacterial small subunit ribosomal RNA
Source: RNAcentral